RNAcentral lists this unclassified non-coding RNA (3847 nucleotides) under Leishmania donovani. Its description in RNAcentral is "gene:unknown". The record is from RNAcentral. Lineage: Eukaryota; Euglenozoa; Kinetoplastea; Trypanosomatida; Trypanosomatidae.
CUUUCUCCUUCUCCGCCAUCCCGCUGUGCAGCCGUUCGAAGCAAGGGCGACGCUCCCCGUUCCAAAGUGGGGACCGCCCUGUUUUGUACGUCUGCUGCCUCGCAGUCUCACACAUGCGCCUGCCUUGCAUAUUCCUUUUCCGGAUGACGGCUGCGCCCACAGACGUCUGUCCGUGCUUUGCACCCCUGCAGCGGCGGGUGACUGGCGGUGACAAUCUGGUGUGCGGAUGGUGGGCGGCCUACGGCUCCCUGCUGGCAUUGCGGUACCCCCGCCCCGCCAGAGCCCUCGGCCCGCCUGUUUUCCGUAUAGGGGCGCCCUACCCGGCAUUGUGCCGGGUACACUACGCGAGGUUCGCCGGUCGUUCGAGACUCGGAGCAAGCGUCAUUUCCCGCUAGGGCGCUGCACGCGGUGACAUGACUAGGCACGCGUCACCCGCGCUGCAUGGGCUUUCCCCGCUGGGCGUGACUAGCGACCCCCCCCCCCCCCCCCUUCGUUCCAUCUGCCACGGCAGAGGCGGGCGAGCCUGCCAGACACGCCGCCGACGCAUGGCACCGAUGGAAACGCCAGAUGAAGACGGCGAGGCCAUACCCCCUUCCCCACGGCCCGACCCGAGAAGGCCGUCGUGAAACAGGCCCCGGGGUGCGGGGAUGCGGGGACUGCGCGGGCGCGCUGCCACGCACCGCUGGGGCGCGGCGUCCCGGUGGUGGGCAGGGCAAGGGCGGCGUUCGACAGGAAACGGCGCGAAGAGGCGCCGCACGGGACAGCGCCAAAGCGGGCACGCAUGGCGUCAUAGGCGGCAUCGUCUCCAUCCGGCGGGGUGGGCUCCAUGAGGCACCGAUGCCGGAUGCACGACGUGCGCAGCCCGAGGUGCGCGAGCGGGGCUCCUCCAGACCCCCAUGCGGAGAGUCCCCGCCCCGCGCUACGGGAUGCCGCGGGCUGAGGCGACUUGGGGGACGGGGGGGGGAGGGACGCAUGGCAUACAGGCAGGAUGUGCAAGGUCGCACAGGUCCCACCCCCCGGCCUGCGGCUGGUGGCCUUCCUCCCUGAGCGCGUCCUGCAGCGCACCUGGACGGUCCACUGCCUCCGCCCUCGCGCAUGUUACCCCGGACGCGGCCCGCUUUGGCGCGAGGCAUGCAGUCCACGCCGCGUCUCCGUCGGGCGCCGAUGGCGCGGCACGCGGCCGGUGAAGGGGGCGAGGAAGGACAUGCAGAGGCCCAUAGGACGCACGGCCCGGCUCCGCGGCAGGGCGGCUCGUCCUGGACGGCGAGGGUGCAGCUGUGGUGCAUGGGCGGUAGGUGGCCUGAGGCUGUGCACGCGUGCGUUUGGUGACUUUGUCGUGGUGGAACGGCACUCUGAAAUACAUUGAUUUGAAAUUUUUUUGUGUCGCGGGUCUUCUUGAUGGUCUGCAGUGUGUUGUCAUAUUUCCUCAUCCCUCCGCUGUGCUUCGUUGUGUCGCCUUCCAUUUUGGUGGUAGGGUGUUCGAGGAGGGGUAUAGGGUGCCGCCGCUUUCUGGCCACGUCUCUCUUGUGGUACGUGGUGGUGGCGGCCCUUGUGGCAUUGUUGUGUAUGUCUUCCUUAGUACUCGUUGCCUCCUCUUUCUUCUUUCCUGCACCUUCGAGUUGUUCUCCCUCUCUCGUGUGUGCAUGCAGCUGUGGGAUCUACGUAUUGAUUCUCUCGUGUAGGGGGGGGGUGAUCGAUGGUUAGAGGGAGGGGCUGAUUGUUGUUUCGCGUUGUGCCGCGACUCAUUCUGUCUUUCUCCGUACGCGGCGCGCAGACUUUCUCUCUGUCCCGCUCACUGUGGUCCUUUCUAUAGUGUGGUUCUUCUUUAUGCUAUGGGGGGGGGGCGUCUGCGUGUGUCUUGUGUCGUCUCUUUCGUUAGUUCUGUGUCGUGCGUAGGGUGUUGCUGGUGCUCAUUUCUGUGUUGUUUUUUUUCGCCCCGUAUACCGAUUGCCUGCGUUCCGCUCUAUGCCGUCUUGAUUGCUUCCGUGUCACUCACUGCAAUUCUGUUCCGUCGUCGUCCACCGCCUUCUCGUUCCUCCUCCUCUUGAUGCCUCCAUCUUGCCCUCGUAUUCCUCAACGUGGGCGACUCUCCUUUUCCCGUCACCUUAUUCUUUCACCCGAGCUCCAUUCUCUCUCUCCGAUUCGAUGCACACGUCAUCCUUCCCCUCUUGAGGUGUGCUUUUGUUUGAAGCGUGCCUGUUUAGGUCGUUCUCCUUGGUCUCCCGUUGGGGACAGAGGGUUGCGUGCAUGCAAAUGAACGUGACCGUGUAUGGAAGUGUGCGCGUGUACUGCCCCGUUUGAUGUGCUGCAGUACGAACUUGUGCUGCUGCCGUGUUUCUCCUGUGCCCUCCUCGCUUGUUUUUGCCUGUCUUGCUGACGUGGCACCUUUUUUCUGCCUCCCCUCUCAGGUGUCUGUCCUCCCGCGAAUACAUGGUUGUGUUUCUUCCGAGCAUGAAGGGGGUGUGCGCGGAGGUGGGGAAUGGGAGUGAGGGGCGGUGUGAGAAUGAUCCUUACCAAAAGCAAACUCAGUCUUCCCUCGAUUCCAAAUACAAGGCAGUUGCAACUUUCUUUUCCUGUCUCCGCAUUCUCUAAAGAUCGCGCUUAUGUUCUUUUUAUUUUUCUGUCGUUGUGGCUGCAGCAAGGGUCUUCUGUUUUCUUUAGAAGGCCUGCGCGCCUAUGUGCAUUCUGUGCGUGCGUGCGCUCUAGCGAAUAUGCUCAUAGCUUUCGAUAUACAUAUGCUUGUGUGUAUAGGUGUAUGCAUCCACGCAGCUGUACUUGAACUUCUUCCUCCUCCUCGACGUCCGUCAUGCUCGUUUAUUGCUGGUGUACUAUGUAUACAUAUAUAUAUAUAUAUAUGCGUAUAUAUAUAUAUAUGGUGCGUUUCAUUUUUUUUUGAGGGGGCUUGGCUGUUUUUUUUCUGCUUUAUUGAUUUCUUUCGAAGCCUUUACGGCGUGCACAGUAUGCUGUGUCACGUGUGUGGUUUCCUUUCUUUGUGUGUGCUUGCUUCGGUGGUGGUUGCGCGUGUGCGAAUGGGGGUUUGAACGGCGGAUACCGCACAUUUGUUUUUCUUUUCCUUGGCUUCUCUUUUUUUUCGUUGUUGUUUUUCUCUCUGUGCUGAACUUCUUGAGGCGUGUGUGCGAUGGCGCGCCUGUGCUGGCACGUGUGCCUCUUCCCUGUACAUUUUAGUGACAGCAGGGAUUCUUUCCUUGUUUGCUGCAGUGAGUAUGCGCUGGCUGCUCUAGGCAAGGGAGCCGGGUGGAAUGAGGAAAUGCCGUCAAGCGCCCGUGCAUGAGGGCUCCGGCGUGGACGGGUCGGUUUCUCUCCUUGCUGCGGAGGUUUUGCUAUAUCCGAAAGGCGUCAGUGCCCCGUGAUGGGUGACGAAAUUGUGCUUCUCAGGUGUACAUAGGCACACGUAUGUCGAGAGAAGGUGGGGGGACUGUGGGAGUGAGUGGCACGACAGACUCACAAUACGCACCCACACGAAAGCAAAGGAAUUCUCAACGGCACUGACGGCUUUGCAAAAUGGACGCGGAGGUGUCACGCGCAUACAUUCCCCUUUCUCAACUCAGACGAGCUCUUUCUUUCUCCCCCCUUCCUGCGCCUUGAAUUAUCCGAACCACACGGGUGCCUUGCGCGCGUUGAACCCUUCACAGAGAUAUCGAAGAGAUGUGAUGAUUCGGUGGCUAUGAACAAGUAUUGUUCCUCUCCCAUUCGCCUCCUUCACCUCCCUGUCUCCCGCGCUUUCUUCUGCUCUUGUUGGUUCUGCCCCCCCCCCCCUCUCUCUCCUUUCCCUCCUCGUCAAUCUUGCCUUACCCCUUGUUGGCAUCUUUAGCAACUAUCCCAGUCG